Molecule: ribosomal RNA, 301 nt
Filed under: uncultured bacterium
Lineage: Bacteria
Description: partial 16S ribosomal RNA
Rfam family: Bacterial small subunit ribosomal RNA
Source: RNAcentral
CAGUAGCCACGGGAAUACGUAGGGCGCAAGCGUUAUCCGGAAUUAUUGGGCGUAAAGAGCUCGUAGGCGGUUUGUCGCGUCUGCCGUGAAAGUCCGGGGCUCAACCCCGGAUCUGCGGUGGGUACGGGCAGACUAGAGUGAUGUAGGGGAGACUGGAGUUCCUGGUGUAGCGGUGAAAUGCGCAGAUAUCAGGAGGAACACCGAUGGCGAAGGCAGGUCUCUGGGCAUUAACUGACGCUGAGGAGCGAAAGCAUGGGGAGCGAACAGGAUUAGAUACCCCCGUAGUCCCUGUCUCUUAUAC